AGAGUGAACGCUGGCGGCAGGCCUAACACAUGCAAGUCGAGCGGCAGCACAGCAGUAGCAAUACUGUGGGUGGCGAGCGGCGGACGGGUGAGGAAUACAUCGGAAUCUGCCUUGUUGUGGGGGAUAACGUAGGGAAACUUACGCUAAUACCGCAUAAGACCGUAAGGUGAAAGCGGGGGAUCGUAAGACCUCGCGCGACAAGAUGAGCCGAUGUCGGAUUAGCUAGUUGGUGAGGUAAUGGCUCACCAAGGCGACGAUCCGUAGCUGGUCUGAGAGGAUGAUCAGCCACACUGGAACUGAGACACGGUCCAGACUCCUACGGGAGCAGCAGUGAGGAAUUUUCGCAUGGGGCAACCCUGACGAGCAACGCCGCGUGCAGGAAGAAGGUUUUCGGAUCGUAAACUGCUUUCUCGGGGAAGAGAACGGACGGUACCCGAGGAAUCACGCCCCGGCUAACUACGUGCCAGCAGCCGC
Molecule: ribosomal RNA, 474 nt
Filed under: uncultured bacterium
Lineage: Bacteria
Description: SSU rRNA
Rfam family: Bacterial small subunit ribosomal RNA
Source: RNAcentral